AAGGAUCAUUACCGAGUUCGUGGGCGUUCUAACCGGACCCCAAACUCCCACCCCAUGUGUACCUGAACCUCGUUGCUUUGGCGGGCCUGCGCGCCCUGAAAAAGCGCGCUGCCGGCCCUGCUGGCCCGUGCCCGCCAGAGGACCUUCAAACUCCUGUUGUCAUCAGUGCCGUCUGAGUGUAAAACUUAAUACGUUUAAAACUUUCAACAACGGAUCUCUUGGUUCUG
This 227-nucleotide unclassified non-coding RNA is filed under the name uncultured fungus. RNAcentral's name for it is "partial contains 18S rRNA, ITS1, 5.8S rRNA, ITS2 and 28S rRNA". Lineage: Eukaryota; Fungi. The record is from RNAcentral.